ACAGCUGGCGCGGCUGUGUACUACAAUUCAGGAAAUGGUAGGUUUCCUUCAAAAGUAAUCUGAACACUGGAUCUUUUAUCUUGCUUAGUCACAAAACCAGAGAUUUUUAUCUUACAAGCAUGAAAUGUAGAAUGUUUACCUCUUGAGAAGACGGGAAAUUAUUCUUCGGCUUUUCUUGAACAGUUAUUCCAAGGCCGUCCUUUCCUAGUACAGCAAGCUGGAUUCUAUUUUAAUUGCAAGGAAGACAUACUAUCUCAGCAGCAAGGAGACCUCACAGUUCUCUCACCUACUGUGCUGGAUUCUACCAAUUUUGAGUAACUUCUU
This 324-nucleotide long non-coding RNA is filed under the name Pogona vitticeps (central bearded dragon). Its description in RNAcentral is "lncRNA (ENSPVIG00000002053.1)". The record is from RNAcentral. Lineage: Eukaryota; Metazoa; Chordata; Lepidosauria; Squamata; Agamidae.